Coturnix japonica (Japanese quail) is the source of this 1746-nucleotide non-coding RNA. The record is from RefSeq and is a predicted model, not a curated record. Lineage: Eukaryota; Metazoa; Chordata; Aves; Galliformes; Phasianidae.
GUAAGAGUAACAUUGAUUUCAAAGGAAAUCACAUGGCUCACAUUUUCUCAGAUUACCUUCCACGACUGCCAUUAGCAGCAAUAAUUUUUCUAUUCAAAUAAGCUCAGUUCCUAUUUUAUUUCUCCAACCUCUGCCUCCAAACUGCUUGAUGCCUCUAGUGGACAUAUAUAUGUUCAGCAUGCAGAUGUGCUCUCAGCUGUAUUUCAGCACAGAGAUUCUCUUACAGCUUCUCCUCAUCCCUUAGGAACCUUUACCUCCUAACCUCAGCCCAGAGCUCCUCAGAGCCCUGGAACAGCAUUUCAUGCGACUGUCCCUGCAUAGAACUGCACAGCCAGGAGAGCUGGAUGACUUUAAGCCAAGCCUGGAGCACGUCGCUGCCUUCCUGCUGCUGUCUCUGACAAGAAGCACAGCAGGUAGCUCAGAUGAUUGGGUGGAUGUUUCGAGGAAUACUUUAAAACACCCUGAGAAACUGUAGUGUGAAGAGCUUUAUGUAACGCGGGACUGCGCUGCUCUAAAAUUGAAAUUGACAAGAAACCCUCAAAGGUCUUUUAUUUCUAACUUCGUUUCUAUGUUGUUGCCAUAAAGCAAACUCCAAAGUGCCUCUCAGUGCCUUCAAUUGUGAGUGUAUUGAAUUGGGAUCUUUUUUUUUUUUUUAUUAAGAGAUGUUUGCAGGAACAAUAAAACCCAAAGCAGCCUCUUGGCAGACCUCCCUGUUCUCCUGCCUCCCGGUCUCCAGGUUGUGUCAAGAUAAAACGAUUUCCAGCUUAGUUGGCAGGUAAAAUAGAUGGCAGAGGAUGAUGGGGUCAAACAAAACUGUUGGGAAGAGCUGGGCUCUAGGAAAAUUCAGACCCCCCUCUGCCACCUACAGUUGAUAGGAAGAGCAGGCAGGUGUAUCACUUUGCUGGUGAUCUGAGAAAUAGCAACAUAAAACUUGCAUGCAAGGACAUAUGGUAAGAAAAUGUUUGUAUCCUUACUUGUUUUAACUUACAGCUGCUUUUCAUGAGUGUGUAUAUCAGCUGUGUGUGUACUGAUGGCUUUAUUUUCUCUAAGGUGUAAAUGAAGCAACACGUGGGUUCAUCUGCUCCGUUUCUGAUUUCUCCUCAAGUGUGAGAAACCUCUUAACCAGCGCUCCUGUCUUUCAGAGACAUCGGAACCAUAAUAAAGCAUGAUUUGAACAGAAGUUAAAUAGGAUUGCAGUAAUAAUUAAAAGCACAACGAGAGCAGGUGGCUGUGCUUCAUCUCAGCUCUACCCCCCCACCCUGCUGCCUUCUCCACCCUGAAGUGAGGCCUCAGAACACAGCUAUUGGGUAAUGAAAUAGCAGUGAGUUGUCACUCUGCCGUAGCAGGAACCUGCCUGUAGGAUCUCAGCUAUCAAGAUCCUUUCAAAAGCAGCAGUGUUUAUUCCUGAGCCAACAGCACACAAUCAGAACAGUUUUCUCAGACUUUGCUCUGCAGUCAUUCAGCAGCAGAUAAAAAGGCAUCGCCUUGUACGUAUCUAUUCACACUUAAUUGUGUGAAUGCCAACAGAAAGGAGGAACUUGCCAGCAAGCUCCGUGCUUGGAGCACAUCGUGCUUACAGCCAGCAGCAAAGCCAGUUCUGGAGGAACACUGGGUCCCCCAGAGAGAAACAAGGAGUGCUGAGACAAUGCCUUUGGCAAAGGUGCUGUUAAUGACACAUUACUGUCACUUGUGAAUGACCUGGUGAAGCAUAAGGCCAACAUAACCUAGGGACAAGCUGGCAGGUUC